This 253-nucleotide ribosomal RNA is filed under the name uncultured bacterium. RNAcentral describes it as "partial 16S ribosomal RNA". It matches the Rfam family "Bacterial small subunit ribosomal RNA", at positions 524 to 776 of the family's 1533-position model. The record is from RNAcentral.
UACGGAGGAUGCAAGCGUUAUCCGGAAUCACUGGGCGUAAAGCGUCUGUAGGUGGCUCAGAAAGUCUGCUGUUAAAUCUUGGGGCUCAACCCUAAAUCAGCAGUGGAAACUUCUAGGCUAGAGUAUGGUAGGGGUAGAGGGAAUUCCCAGUGUAGCGGUGAAAUGCGUAGAUAUUGGGAAGAACACCAGAGGCGAAAGCGCUCUGCUAGGCCAUUACUGACACUCAGAGACGAAAGCUAGGGGAGCAAAUGGG